UGGUACACAAUGCCUCUUGGAGUAC
RNAcentral lists this non-coding RNA (25 nucleotides) under Rattus norvegicus (Norway rat). Lineage: Eukaryota; Metazoa; Chordata; Mammalia; Rodentia; Muridae. The record is from RNAcentral.